AGAGUUUGAUCCUGGCUCAGAACGAACGCUGGCGGCAUGCCUAACACAUGCAAGUCGAACGAUGGCUUCGGCCAUAGUGGCGCACGGGUGAGUAACACGUGGGAACCUGCCUUUCGGUUGCGGAAUAACGUUUGGAAACGAACGCUAACACCGGAUACGCCCUUCGGGGGAAAGUUUACGCCGAGAGAGGGGCCCGCGUCCGAUUAGGUAGUUGGUGGGGUAACGGCCUACCAAGCCGACGAUCGGUAGCUGGUCUGAGAGGAUGAUCAGCCACACUGGGACUGAGACACGGCCCAGACUCCUACGGGAGGCAGCAGUGGGGAAUAUUGGACAAUGGGCGCAAGCCUGAUCCAGCAAUGCCGCGUGAGUGAUGAAGGCCUUAUGGUUGUAUAGCUCUUUCGCACGCGACGAUGAUGACGGUAGCGUGAGAAGAAGCCCCGGCUAACUUCGUGCCAGCAGCCGCGGUAAUACGAAGGGGGCUAGCGUUGUUCGGAAUUACUGGGCGUAAAGGGCGCGUAGGCGGACUUGUCAGUCAAAAGUGAAAGCCCCGGA
This 552-nucleotide ribosomal RNA is filed under the name uncultured freshwater bacterium. Its description in RNAcentral is "bacterial SSU rRNA". It matches the Rfam family "Bacterial small subunit ribosomal RNA", at positions 8 to 607 of the family's 1533-position model. The record is from RNAcentral.